Molecule: ribosomal RNA, 468 nt
Filed under: uncultured bacterium
Lineage: Bacteria
Description: partial 16S ribosomal RNA
Rfam family: Bacterial small subunit ribosomal RNA
Source: RNAcentral
GACGAACGCUGGCGGCGUGCUUAACACAUGCAAGUCGAACGGAAAGGCCCUGCUUUUGUGGGGUGCUCGAGUGGCGAACGGGUGAGUAACACGUGAGUAACCUGCCCUUGACUUUGGGAUAACUUCAGGAAACUGGGGCUAAUACCGGAUAGGAGCUCCUGCUGCAUGGUGGGGGUUGGAAAGUUUCGGCGGUUGGGGAUGGACUCGCGGCUUAUCAGCUUGUUGGUGGGGUAGUGGCUUACCAAGGCUUUGACGGGUAGCCGGCCUGAGAGGGUGACCGGCCACAUUGGGACUGAGAUACGGCCCAGACUCCUACGGGAGGCAGCAGUGGGGAAUAUUGAACAAGGGGCGGAAGCCUGAGGCAGCAACGCCGCGUGCGGGAUGACGGCCUUCGGGUUGUAAACCGCUUUCGCCUGUGACGAAGCGUGAGUGACGGUAAUGGGUAAAGAAGCACCGGCUAACUACGUG